Molecule: non-coding RNA, 30 nt
Filed under: Mus musculus (house mouse)
Lineage: Eukaryota; Metazoa; Chordata; Mammalia; Rodentia; Muridae
Source: RNAcentral
UGCAUCUAUGUAUGUGCCUGGUGCCCGUGG